GUGGGGAAUAUUGCACAAUGGGGGAAACCCUGAUGCAGCAACGCCGCGUGGAGGAUGACGCAUUUCGGUGUGUAAACUCCUUUUAUAAGGGAAGAUAAUGACGGUACCUUAUGAAUAAGCACCGGCUAACUCCGUGCCAGCAGCCGCGGUAAUACGGAGGGUGCAAGCGUUACUCGGAAUCACUGGGCGUAAAGGAUGCGUAGGCUGUAAUAUAAGUCAGAAGUGAAAUCCAACGGCUUAACCGUUGAACUGAGUUUGAAACUGUUUUACUAGAAUAUGGGAGAGGUAGAUGGAAUUGGUAGUGUAGGGCUAAAAUCCGUAGAUAUCACCAGGAAUACCGAUUGCGAAGGCGAUCUACUGGAACAUUAUUGACGCUGAGGCAUGAAAGCGUGGGGAGCAAACAGAAUUAGAAACCCCUGUAGUC
Molecule: ribosomal RNA, 424 nt
Filed under: uncultured bacterium
Lineage: Bacteria
Description: partial 16S ribosomal RNA
Rfam family: Bacterial small subunit ribosomal RNA
Source: RNAcentral